This 485-nucleotide ribosomal RNA is filed under the name uncultured bacterium. RNAcentral describes it as "partial 16S ribosomal RNA". It matches the Rfam family "Bacterial small subunit ribosomal RNA", at positions 30 to 507 of the family's 1533-position model. The record is from RNAcentral.
AUUGAACGCUGGCGGCAGGCUUAACACAUGCAAGUCGAGCGGAGAUGAGGUGCUUGCACCUUAUCUUAGCGGCGGACGGGUGAGUAAUGCUUAGGAAUCUGCCAUUUAGUGGGGGACAACAUUCCGAAAGGAAUGCUAAUACCGCAUACGUCCUACGGGAGAAAGUAGGGGAUCUUCGGACCUUGCGCUAAAUGAUGAGCCUAAGUCGGAUUAGCUAGUUGGUGGGGUAAAGGCCUACCAAGGCGACGAUCUGUAGCGGGUCUGAGAGGAUGAUCCGCCACACUGGGAAUGAGAAACGGCCCAGACUCCUACGGGAGGCAGCAGUGGGGAAUAUUGGACAAUGGGGGGAACCCUGAUCCAGCCAUGCCGCGUGUGGGAAGAAGGCCUUAUGGUUGUAAAGCACUUUAAGCGAGGAGGAGGCUACUGAGACUAAUACUCUUGGAUAGUGGACGUUACUCGCAGAAUAAGCACCGGCUAACUCUGUG